UUGGUGAGUUUGAUCCUGGCUCGGGAUGAACGUUGGAGGCAUGCCUUGAGACAUGCAAGUUGGUCGGAAAUCAUUUCAAAUUUAAUUUCCGUAGCGGACGGGUGCGUAACACGUGAGAAUCAACCCUUAGGGACGAGGAUAAAGGUCGGUGACGAUUUCUAAAACUCUAUAAGCCGUGUCAAUUACCCAUGUAGUUGUCGGUGAAGAUUUCCUAGGGACGAGCUUGCGCCUGAUUAGUUAGUUGGCGAGGUAAUGGCUCACCAAGACUAUGAUCAGUAGCUGGUUUGAGAGAGCGGUCAGCCACAUUGGGAUUGAGAUACGGCCCAAACUUCUUCGGGGGGCAGCAGUCGGGAAUUUUCCGCAAUGGGCGCAAGCCUGACGGAGCGAUGCCUUGUGGAGGAUGAAGGAUCAUAAAGGUUCGUAAACUCCUUUUAUUAAGGAACAUUAAUUGUCGUUUCCGUAUUUAGAUAGUACUUAAAGAAUCAAGUAUCGGCUAACUCUGUGCCAGCAGCCGCGGUAAUACGGGGGAUGCAAACGUUGUCCAGUUGUAUUGGGCGUAAAGCGUCCGUAGGUGGACUGGUAAGUUUAUUGUUAAAGAUUCUGGCUCAACCAGGAAAAAGCAAUGAAAACUGCUGGACUAGAGAGUGGACGGGGUGAAGAGAAUAUCUAGUGGAGCGGUAAAAUGCGAUGAUAUUAGGCGGAACACCAGUGGCGAAAGCGCUUCACUAGACCAUUUCUGACACUGAGGGACGAAAGCUAGGGGAGCAAAAAGGAUUAGGUACCCUUGUAGUCCUAUCGCUGUAAACGCUGGGUACUAGAUGUCGCAGUGGUGCGGUGUCUUAGCUAACGCGUUAAGUACCCCGCCUGGGGAGUACGCUCGCAAGGGUGAAACUCAAAGGAAUUGACGGGACCCCUCGCAAGCGGUGGAGCAUGCUGUUUAAUUCGACAACGCGAAGAACCUUACCUAGAUUUGACCUUCUAUAAAUCUCCAUGAAAAUGGAGGAAACCAAACUUACAUGGUGUAAAAGCUUCUUAGGGAGCAGUAGUUACAGGUGGUGCAUGGCUGUCGUCAGUUCGUGUCGUGAGAUGUCAGGUUAAGUCCUAGUAACGAACGCAACCCUUAUCCUUAGUUAAUUAUAUGUCUAGGGAAACGGCCAACGAUCAAGUUGGAGGAAGGAGAGGAUGACGUCAAGUCAGCAUGCCCCGUAUGUCUAGGGCUACAAGCGUGCUACAAUGACUAUUCAACAAAAAGUCGCAACUUUGUGAAAGGAAGCGAAUCUACAAAUGAGGUCACAGUUCGGAUUGUAGGCUGCAACUCGGCUACAUGAAGUCGGAAUCGCUAGUAAUCGCUGGUCAGCUAUACAGCGGUGAACUUGUUUCAGGGGUUUGUACACACCGCCCGUCACACCCCUGAAGUUGACUAUACCAGGCGUCGUUGUCUUAACCACACAUAUUUUUAAGACGGAAGACAACGAUAAAGGUUGUGUCGGUAACCGAGGUGAAGUCGUAACAAGGUAGCCGUACUGGAAGGUGUGGCUGGAAAUCUUU
This 1548-nucleotide ribosomal RNA is filed under the name Karenia brevis. RNAcentral's name for it is "Bacterial small subunit ribosomal RNA". It matches the Rfam family "Bacterial small subunit ribosomal RNA". Lineage: Eukaryota; Dinophyceae; Gymnodiniales; Kareniaceae. The record is from RNAcentral.